GGGUGGGGGGUCGGGAGAACCCGGGGUGGGGGGACAGGAGUCAAAGUGCGUUUAUUUAAUUUAUAAAUUAUUAUUGUUAUUAUUAUUGUGUAUGCGCGGAAGGUUUUCGUUGUUUUUAUUCUUUUGUAUUAUAUAUUAUAGAAAUUCCGUACAGUGUUGAUAAACACUACGGAAUUUCAAGCCCCUAAACUUAAGACAUAGUUAAUUUCAAAACAACACAACAGCGGCGGCGGGUUUUCUCAAGAUUUUUUUUACCAAGAAGCAGAUGGCAUCUGAAAUACCAAAGUUUGUCCAGCAUAAAAGAAGAUUUAGUGGUAAGUCAAACGUUGAUUUUCUCAAACUUAAUCUUAGUUACAACUUACAUUUUUAAUUAUAGACUGUUGAUCCUAUCAAUAACAAUAUUGCGGAAUAGAAUGUAAUUAUAAACCAUAAAUUUGACAUAGAAAAGUCGACAGAGUAGAAGAGCAUGUGUAUUUAUGAUAACGAUUUGGUUGGUAUGAGGACUGGCGAAAAUGGAUCAGAUUUGACCAACAAAUGGCAGCAAUUUUGUGACCAAAAGACGCAGAUUUUUUCAAACAAAUUGGUACGUAUGAAAGGUACGUAUGCUUGUAACUACUAAAACAUCAAGUGUAAAAUUCUUUGCUCUAAUUUUCCGUGUUGCUUUUGUCGGUCUCGGUAUUUAUCAUUCAAUGAGUGUGCAUUUAAAAUACAAAUUGGACAGAGGUUUCGUAUGUAUAUGGUGGAUUUGUGUUAGAAGUUUCCAUGAGUGGUACGUGUAUUGUGAAUGCCUUCUAAAGAAGAAUUCUAGUUUAGAAGAAUGGCAGCAAUUUUUGGAUCAAAAUUGUUUUCAAAAAGAACGGUACGUAUAAGAAGGUGAUCUUCAAAAAAGAUAAGAUAAAAACAAAGAUCUGAGUGAAAUGCAAUAACCACCAAGGAAUCUUGUAAUAUGAGGAAGUUUCGGCCGUAUACAGCGUCAAAUACAGUUAACUGAUGAACACCAAUACCUACAAACUUAAUUAAUCAUGUGAGAAUCCUUGAAAAGACUUGCACAUCUUUCCAAACCUUUAAGACUUCAUUUCAAUUGAAAUGCAAUAAUCACACACUAGAAACAAUUACCACAAAUGGUACAAAAACAUACGCAGUCUUUUUUUUUAACAAAUUACAAAACUUUAAGACUUCAAAUUGUAGUAAAGUGCAAUAAUUAUGACACUAAAAGAAAAUAUUGCCAUCAAUGCUGCAAAAAACAUACACAGUCUUUUCUUAACAAAAUACAAACAUGACUUCAAUUUUAGUCAAAUGCAAUAAUUUUUACAUACAUAAAAUUCUAACCAACCCACAAAUCAAAUACAAUACUGAUCAUACAAAAAUAGAAUGUACCCUAACCAGCAUUGCAAUGACCUACACAAUUUUUUUUCGUCAGACCACAGUCCUAACAAUAUGCAAAUAUUUACAACUGUAACUUAAGUAAAAUGUUAAAGUGGUCACAGUGUAUUGUAAGUAAUCCUAAAAUACAUACACAGCUUGUUCAUUACACCACAUGCUAUAACAAAUUACAAAUAGAAAUUUUGUAAACCAAUCUUGAAAGACUUUCUUUUCAUAUCACUGCAUCCCACAAUAAAUUACGACCAGUUAGGUCUGUAUUGAAAUGCAAUAACUAUCACAUGAAAAGAAUAUGUUAACCAAUCACACAGUUUUUUCAUAUCACUGCAUACCACAAGAAAUUACAAACAGUUAGGUCUUUAGUUGUAUUGAAAUGCUUAACUAUCACAUGAAAAGAAUAUGUUAACCAAUCACACAGUUUUUUCACAUCACUGCAUACCACAAUAAAUUACAAACAGUUGAAAUGCAAUAACUAUCACAUGAAAAGAAUAUAGUAACAACAAAUUACAAACCUUUAAUUGAAAUAGAACGAAUAGCCGUCACACGAAAAGAAUAUUCUAACCAAACGUGGAAAUACAUGCACAGUUUGGUCGCAACAAUGUUUACUACAACAAAGUACGGACCUAACAGACUUGAAUUUAAGUGAAAUUAUUAUUAGCCGAAAAGACUAUUCUAACCAAUUUUAAAAACACUUACACUUAGUUUGUUAGUAACACUGCAUAGCAUACAAGUUACAAACUUUUAAGAACUUAAUUAAGGUAAAACAAAUAGCCGUCACAUGAAACGAAUGUUCUGUACAAACAUGAUAAGACUUACACAGUUCGUCCAAAAUAAGUAAUAAAUUUUAAUACCUUAUUUCAUAUGAAUGCAACAAUGAUCCAUCAGAAUUAUUGUGGUAAUCAAUACUGCAAAUAUAUAAACGUUCGUAGCCCUUCAUGCUAUUAACAAACCAAAACUUUCCUCAAUACAUCAAACAUUUACUAGCUGCUACACUACAAAGCAACAAAGAUUUAAUUAAACCUUGAAUGUCUAAGACUUGGUGUUCUAGGAAACAAGAUUCUACUUUAUGUACUGAGCUUUUCUUUCUCAUAGUUCUUACAAAAUGAUGUAAUAUACAAAAUUUGCGUUCGCACAAACAACCUAAUGUAUCAGGCUCUUCAAGUUUCUACAAAUUGACCUCUGCUCGAAAGAGGAGUGGGUUAAACUGAGAAUAUACAUACUCACAACAAUGCUGUGAAACUUAUCACAUUACAGUUGCCUGGUAUCUCUUUUUUUCUCACUGAAUAUCACAUUAUUCAUUAUUUUUCUGAAUUUUCUUUUUCCAUUGUUGUUUCUUUAUUUCCUUUUCUAUAUUUUCAUGUUAAUACCAUACUUCACCAUUAUAUCUAUUACUUCCAUUAUCCAUGUUCCCUGUUCGUCAUUCAAGUUCUCCUUCAUUAUUUCCUGUAUCAAUCUCUUUCCAUCUGAUGUUACUAUUUGCUGCAACAGCAUAAAUCUCCUUUCUUCAAUCCUCUGUUGCAUUGUCCAGUAGCAAGCCUCAAUUAGUAUACGUGGUGUCCUUCUCGCAAAUUACGUGAAUAUACCCAAACCUCCUUGAGAUGACAUAGCAUAUUCUAAUUAAAGCGGAUGUCUCUGAACACUAAAUACUUACGCUUUACCCCAAGACUGCCCCCCCCCCCCCCCCUCCCCAAAAAAAGAACACCACAAAAACAACCUACAUUAUGCAGCCAACACAAUAAAAAACUAAAAUCAGGACAUUCCAUAAAAAUAUCUACACUAUAAACGCCCCAAAAACAGAAACUGCAUGAAAGCCCCGACACUCUAUAAAAUAUGUGACAAUCAACCACUCCAAAGAACUCCUACCUACACUCCAUACUCAAUAAAAAUCUUAAAACUCUAUGAAAACCACAACACAAUCACAAUAAAAACCCAACACUCCAUAACAACUCCGACACUCCAUAACAACCCAACACUCGCCAUAACUCUCCAUAACAACCCCAUCUUUUCCGAACAACCCCGACUUUCCACAACAUUCCCAACUUUUUAUAACAACUCUAACUCUCUAUAACAACUCCAACUCUCUAUAAAAACUCCAACUCUCUAUAACAACUCCAACUCUAUAUAACAACCCUAACUCUCCAUAACAACUCUACUUAACAACUCCAACUCUACUCUAUAACAACUCCAACUCUCCAUAACAACUCCAACUCUACAACAACUCCAACUCUCUAUAACAACUCCAACUCUCUAUAACAACUCCAACUCUCUAUAUAAACUCCAACUCUCUAUAACAACUCCAACUCUCUAUAGCAACUCCAACUCUACUCUAUAGCAACUCCAACUUUCUAUGACAACUCCAACUCUUCAUAACAACUCUAACGCUCCAUAACAACCAUAACACUCCCUAACAACCAUAACACUCCCUAACAACCCAGACAGCCUAUAACAACUUCGACACGCUAUAAAAACUUCUAGCAAUUUCACUAACACCACUGCAACACACUAUCAAGACGGUUGCACAUCUCUGAAACAAAUUUUACUUCUUUCUCCAUUAUUUUACUUCGUUUUCUGUUAUUUUACUGCUUUCCCCAUUAUUUGACUUCGUUCUCCAUUAUUUUAAUUCGUUCUCCAUUACUUCACUUCCUUCUCCGUCAUUUUACUUCUUUCUCCAUUAUUUUCCUUCGUUCUCCGUUAUUUUAAUUUGUUUUCCAUUAUUUUAAUUCGUUCUCAGUUAUUUUAAUUCGUUCUCCGUUAUUUUAAUUCGUUCUCCGUUAUUUUUAUUCGUUCUCCGUUAUUUUAACAUCGCUCUCCGUUAUUUUAACAUCGUUCUCCGUUAUUUUAACAUCGCUCUCCAUUAUUUUAAUUCGUUCUCCAUUACUUCACUUCCUUUUCCGUCAUUUUACUUCUUUUUCAAUUAUUUUAAUUCGUUCUCCAUUAUUUUAAUUCUUUCUCCGUUAUUUUAACAUCGCUCUCCGUUAUUUUAAUUCGUUCUCCGCUAUUUUAAUUCGUUCUCCGUUAUUUUAAUUCGUUCUCCAUUAUUUUAACAUCGCUCUCCGUUAUUUUAAUUCGUUCUCCGCUAUUUUAAUUUGUUCUCCGUUAUUUUAAUUCGUUCUCCAUUAUUAUAACAUCGCUCUGCGUUAUCUUAAUUUGUUUUCCGUCCCUUUUCCAUUUCUUUAAUCCGUUCUUCAUCAUUCUACUUCGUUCUUUAUUUUUUUAAUUCUUUUCCCAUUAUUUUACUCCAUCAUUUUGAUUCGUUCUUCAUCAUUCUACUUCUUUCUCCCUUAUGUUACUUCUUUCUCCAUUAUUUUCCUUCGUUUUCCAUUAUUUUAAUUCGUUCUCCGUUAUUUCAAUUCGUUCUCCGUUAUUUCAAUUCGUUCUCCGUUAUUUUAAUUCUUUCUCUCUUAUUUUACUUCUUUCUCCGUUAUUAUACUUCCUAUAAAUUAUUUUAUUUUGUUAUACAUUAUUUUAAUUCUUUCCCCAUUAUUUUAAUUCGUUUUCCAUUAUUUAAUUCGAUCUCAAUUAUUUUACUUCCUUCUCUAUUAUUUUAAUUCGUUCUCCAUUAUAAUAAUUCUUUCUCCAUUAUUUUACUUCGCUCUCCAUUAUUUCACCUCUUUCUCCAUUAUUUUGAUUUGUUUUCCGUUAUUUUACUUCGUUCUCCAUUAUUUUACUUCGUUCUCCAUUAUUUUACUUCUUUCUCUCUUAUUUUACUUCUUUCUCCAUUAUUUUACUUCGUUCUCCAUUAUUUUACUUCUUUCUCCAUUAUUUUACUUCGUUCUCUAUUAUUUUAAUUCGUUCUCCAUUAUAAUAAUUCGUUCUCCAUUAUUUUACUUCGUUUUCCAAUUAUUUAAUUCGAUCUCCAUUAUUUUACUUCUUUCUCUAUUAUUUUAAUUCGUUCUCCAUUAUAAUAAUUCGUUCUCCAUUAUUUUACUUCGUUCUCCAUUAUUUUACUUCGCUCUCCAUUAUUUCACCUCCUUCUCCAUUAUUUUGAUUUGUUUUCCGUUAUUUUACUUCGUUCUCCAUUAUUUUGAUUUUCCAUUAUUUUACUUCGUUCUCCAUUAUUUUGAUUUGUUUUCCGUUAUUUUACUUCGUUCUCCAUUAUUUUGAUUUGUUUUCCAUUAUUUGGAUUUGUUUUCCAUUAUUUUAUAUAGAUCUCCAUCAUUUUAAUUCGAUGUCCAUUAUUUCACUUCGUUCUCCAUUAUUUUACUUCGCUCUCCAUUAUUUCACCUCCUUCUCCAUUAUUUUGAUUUGUUUUCCGUUAUUUUACUUUGUUCUCCAUUAUUUUGAUUUGUUUUCCAUUAUUUGGAUUUGUUUUCCAUUAUUUUAUAUAGAUCUCCAUCAUUUUAAUUCGAUGUCCAUUAUUUUACUUCGUUCUCCAUUAUUUUACUUCGCUCUCCAUUAUUUCACCUCCUUCUCCAUUAUUUUGAUUUGUUUUCCGUUAUUUUACUUCGUUCUCCAUUAUUUUGAUUUGUUUUCCAUUAUUUGGAUUUGUUUUCCAUUAUUUUAUAUAGAUCUCCAUCAUUUUAAUUCGAUGUCCAUUAUUUUACUUCGUUCUCCAUUAUUUUACUUCGCUCUC
Long non-coding RNA from Hydractinia symbiolongicarpus, 5953 nucleotides. RefSeq lists it as uncharacterized. Lineage: Eukaryota; Metazoa; Cnidaria; Hydrozoa; Anthoathecata; Hydractiniidae. The record is from RefSeq and is a predicted model, not a curated record. The transcript has 2 exons.